UUGUUCCCUUGUUGGCAUAUUUCAUUUUCUUCCCUGAAAAUGGGUAGACUGAGAUAAGGUAUGAGGAAGCCUUGGCCAUGCCACCAGCCGCUUAUCCCAAAUUCCUGAUCCCUGGAAGACAUCUGGGCUCUCCCUCCUGUUCCAGCCCAGUAGCUUCCAGCAAAGGUACUGGCUCAAUUGGACACGGAGUGUGGAACUGCCUGCUCACACUUGUGAACCCCCGUCCAGAAGGAAGAAACAGAAAGGGCCCAGUGAGUAUAGGAAGAUGCCAGGGCCCACUGUGGAAAGCCUGGAGCCAAGUUUUUCUUAAAUGCAAAUGUCCCCAGUGUGGGGUCACGUCCAAGCUCCAGAAGGAAGCCUGGCCUGGGCGGGGGGGUGGGAGGGCUGUUGCUAGAACCUGUCAAUCCUGCUCCACACUUCCGAGUUUUCCGUGGCUUCUCCUGAAACCCGGGCCUAGGGGGUGGGGCUUGAUUCCUAUCCUAGGGGUACUGGGCGGGGUCGUGUAAAUUAUCCAAUCAGGCGCUCCGCCAGGAGGGUGGGGCCAAGCUCCGCAAGUCUAAGGGGCUCCUGUUCCCCUAACCCACUGAAUUCAGCCUUCCAGAGGCCGAGGUGGCUCCACCACAGCUUCUGUCCGGUGGUGACCAGCACUGAUCUCCGGAGCCAAGGGAGGACCCGGGACACCUGGGAGCCGGGAAAUGUUUUCCAUGGCUCCGAGACAAUGACACCGCUUCAGUGUGAACUCUCAUGAAUUGAGUCUAGAUCCCCAGUGCUGUCCGUCUCACCUGUCCUCCUCUACACAUAUCUGGGAUAUGUCACGGCUUGGUGGUCUUUGAAGAUGUGACUCUGAACUUCAUCCAGAAGGAGUAGGCUUUGCUGGAUUUUUCCGUGAAGAAUCUGUAGAGAUGUGAUGAGGGAAGCCAUCAGCACCUGGCUUCUAUAGCUGCAGCCCAAGAGGCCAACUGGAACGUUAACAUCAGACACUAAUCCAGCUGACUGGACACAAUUGGGAAAACUGGUUAUUUUACCAAGGCUUUAACUGGAAUGGUGUGCCUUCCUUUAAGGAAUCAAAUUUGACUUAUGGAGCCAAUAAAGCCCUUGGAAAGCUGGCCUCAGAUUUCAUGUACAGUCCCUGUACAGGGUUUCCGAUCUGUGGUAAGUAAAGAAUGUCACUUUCUGACAGGCCAGGAGUCCCAAGUUAUCUUAGAACCUCAAGAAGAGAGGAUUUCUCCCAACUCAUAGGUAUUCAGUGGUACAAAUCUAUGGCUGGCCUUGCCUUUAAAAAGGUCUUAUCUCACAUUCCUUCUACAAAACAAAGUUCCAUCAAAGCCAAUUUAAA
RNAcentral lists this long non-coding RNA (1336 nucleotides) under Homo sapiens (human). RNAcentral's name for it is "non-protein coding lnc-ZNF625-ZNF20-2:2". The record is from RNAcentral. Lineage: Eukaryota; Metazoa; Chordata; Mammalia; Primates; Hominidae.